GACGAACGCUGGCGGCGUGCCUAAUACAUGCAAGUCGAGCGAGCGGAACCAGCAGAUCUGCUUCGGCAGUGACGCUGGGAAAGCGAGCGACGGAUGGGUGAGUAACACGUGGGGAACCUGCCCCAAAGUCUGGGAUACCACUUGGAAACAGGUGCUAAUACCGGAUAAGAAAGCAGAUCGCAUGAUCAGCUUUUAAAAGGCGGCGUAAGCUGUCGCUAUGGGAUGGCCCCGCGGUGCAUUAGCUAGUUGGUAGAGUAACGGCCUACCAAGGCAAUGAUGCAUAGCCGAGUUGAGAGACUGAUCGGCCACAUUGGGACUGAGACACGGCCCAAACUCCUACGGGAGGCAGCAGUAGGGAAUCUUCCACAAUGGACGCAAGUCUGAUGGAGCAACGCCGCGUGAGUGAAGAAGGUUUUCGGAUCGUAAAGCUCUGUUGUUGGUGAAGAAGGAUAGAGGUAGUAACUGGCCUUUAUUGGACGUAAUCAACCAGAAUUUC
RNAcentral lists this ribosomal RNA (496 nucleotides) under Lactobacillus sp. oral taxon 461. RNAcentral describes it as "bacterial SSU rRNA". It matches the Rfam family "Bacterial small subunit ribosomal RNA", at positions 28 to 492 of the family's 1533-position model. Lineage: Bacteria; Bacillati; Bacillota; Bacilli; Lactobacillales; Lactobacillaceae. The record is from RNAcentral.